UUGACCUCGGAUCAGGUAGGAAUACCCGAUCAGGUAGGAAUACCCGCUGAACUUAAGCAUAUCAAUAAGCGGAGGAAAAGAAACCAACAGGGAUUGCCCUAGUAACGGCGAGUGAAGCGGCAACAGCUCAAAUUUGAAAUCUGGCUUUCGGGCCCGAGUUGUAAUUUGUAGAGGAUGAUUUUGAU
RNAcentral lists this ribosomal RNA (185 nucleotides) under Fusarium graminearum. RNAcentral describes it as "partial 28S ribosomal RNA". The stretch from base 20 to 185 matches the Rfam family "Eukaryotic large subunit ribosomal RNA", at positions 1 to 169 of the family's 3401-position model. The record is from RNAcentral. Lineage: Eukaryota; Fungi; Ascomycota; Sordariomycetes; Hypocreales; Nectriaceae.